AUGGAGUCCAUCAUGAAGAAGAUGGAAGACAAACCCAUACUGGCAAUGAUCAUGAUGACCAGGCCAACAAGUAAGAGAGCAAGCAUGAAGAAGCUGAUGGUGAGGCAAUGGAGAGAAGAUGUUAGACCAGGCCUGACUGCAACACAGUGGGUCUCACCAACAAAGGCAUUCACAAUAUGUCCUCCCGAAGCAUUAGAGAGAAGAACCACCAGAUGUCCACAGGCAUGUUUUCUGUUCCAGCCAGGACCAGCUCUAUUCCGAAUGGAGACUUGUCCUGUUGGCAUAUGUGUUCUCAGGGGAACAUACUAAGGUAUAGCUGACUUCCUGGGUGGGGGGGUGGGUAUCCUCAUCUCUGCCCCGAUUUCCCACACUUCUCUCAGGGUUAUACCUUUGAGA
This 396-nucleotide long non-coding RNA is filed under the name Canis lupus familiaris (dog). Its description in RNAcentral is "lncRNA (ENSCAFG00040016445.1)". The record is from RNAcentral. Lineage: Eukaryota; Metazoa; Chordata; Mammalia; Carnivora; Canidae.